This 232-nucleotide ribosomal RNA is filed under the name uncultured bacterium. Its description in RNAcentral is "partial 16S ribosomal RNA". It matches the Rfam family "Bacterial small subunit ribosomal RNA", at positions 99 to 334 of the family's 1533-position model. The record is from RNAcentral.
CGGGCGGGUGAGUAAUGUCUGGGAAACUGCCCGAUGGAGGGGGAUAACUACUGGAAACGGUAGCUAAUACCGCAUAACGUCGCAAGACCAAAGAGGGGGACCUUCGGGCCUCUUGCCAUCGGAUGUGCCCAGAUGGGAUUAGCUAGUAGGUGGGGUAAUGGCUCACCUAGGCGACGAUCCCUAGCUGGUCUGAGAGGAUGACCAGCCACACUGGAACUGAGACACGGUCCAG